Molecule: ribosomal RNA, 459 nt
Filed under: uncultured bacterium
Lineage: Bacteria
Description: bacterial SSU rRNA
Rfam family: Bacterial small subunit ribosomal RNA
Source: RNAcentral
ACUCCUACGGGAGGCAGCAGUGGGGAAUAUUGCACAAUGGGGGAAACCCUGAUGCAGCCAUGCCGCGUGUGUGAAGAAGGCCUUCGGUUGUAAAGCACUUUCAGUAGGGAGGAAGGUAGUGUAGUUAACACCUGCAUUAUUUGACGUUACCUACAGAAGAAGCACCGGCUAACUCCGUGCCAGCAGCCGCGGUAAUACGGAGGGUGCGAGCGUUAAUCGGAAUUACUGGGCGUAAAGCGCAUGCAGGCGGCCUGUUAAGUCAGAUGUGAAAGCCCGGGGCUUAACCUCGGAAUUGCAUUUGAAACUGGCAGGCUAGAGUCUUGUAGAGGGGGGUAGAAUUUCAGGUGUAGCGGUGAAAUGCGUAGAGAUCUGAAGGAAUACCAGUGGCGAAGGCGGCCCCCCUGGACAAAGACUGACGCUCAGAUGCGAAAGGCUGGGGGGAGCAAACAGGAUUAGAUA